This is a long non-coding RNA of Thalassophryne amazonica, 108 nucleotides long. RefSeq lists it as uncharacterized. NCBI's taxonomy places the organism in Eukaryota, Metazoa, Chordata, Actinopteri, Batrachoidiformes, Batrachoididae. The record is from RefSeq and is a predicted model, not a curated record. The transcript has 3 exons.
CAUUUUACAACAGCAAUGUUCCAAUGGUCACUAUGCUGCCAGUUAGGUGGGACCAAAAUAGACAAGAAGCCUAUUUUAUGCAAAUGCUGAGCGAUGCGACAUUGCGAC